UUUUCUAAGACCUCCCUGGCCCGCCAUACCCCCAUCCUGGACCUGCAAAAACCCAAGACUGCGGGCACGGUGGCUCAUGCCUGUAAUCCCAGCACUUUGGGAGGCCGAGGCGGGCAGAUCACGAGGUCAAGAAGUCGAGACCAGCCUUGCUAACAUGGCGAAACCCUGUCUCUACUGAAAAUACAAAAAUUAGCUGGGCGUGAUGGCGUGCGCGCCUGUAGUCCCAGCUGCUUGGGAGGCUGAGGUAGGAGAAUCGCUUGAAUCCGGGAGGUGGAGGUUGCAGUAAGCAGAGAUUGCGCCACGGCCCUCUAGCCUGGCGACAGAGACUCCUUCAAAAACAACAAUAACAACAACAACAACAAAACAAAACAAAACCUCCCAAGACCCUAGUGGGCAGACACACAGCCAGCCAGACAUGGAGAGUAGCACAUUGGCAGAAGACGCAAGUGGCUGGUCCUCGAGACGACGUUGAGAGGAGCAUGCCAGCAGAAGAGCACACACCGACAGGCACCGACACACCACCGGCAGGCCAUGCACCAGCAGAAUGAUGCGGAGUUUGACAGGGCAGUCAGAGAAGAGCCUGGGCCGCCAAGGGGCCCGACUCCAGGGGAAAACCAUCUCCCUUCUGGCUCCCCCAUCUGCUGAGAGCUACUUCUACUCAAUAAAACCUUGCACUCAUUCUCCAAGCCCACGUGUAAUCCGAUUCUUCAGUGCCGCCUCCCAAAUGUGGAAAUGCAUUGUCUUUCUUCUUUCCUAGACCAGUGGUCCUCAAACCUGAGCAGGUUUAAGCAUGGUCAUAGCAGAAUCAAUGUGCUCACCCCAUCAUGAAAAAAAAAUUUGUUAAUGAAUUGAUUACUACUUUGAGUGUGCCAUAUUUUAAAGACGAAGAGAAACUAAUCAAGUUAGUUUUUAUUUGGUCAGAGGCUUGUUUGUGCCUGCUUAUCUAAAGUUAUAAAGGCCCCAGAUAUGGCUCCGUGUUGUAGAGGGACUGUCUCUUCUUAUAUCGACAGAGCCCAUAUUCACAAUGUAUCACACUUACCUCGAUAUAUUGUCUGGAGUUUCCUAGUCUGUGUCCUUUGCCUGGAAUGCCCUCUCUUGCUAGCUGGCUUCUUCCCACCAGCUGUGGCCAGGGCUGAGGGCUGCUCCUGAUUCCUUCAUCAAAACUCCGUCUGCUGGGUGUGGUGCCUCACACCUGUAAUCCCAGCACUUUGAGAGGCCAAGGUGGGAGUAUCGUUUGAGCCCAGGAGUUCAAGACAAGCCUGGACAACAGAGCAAGACCCUGUCUCUACCAAAAAAAAGAAAAGAAAAGAAAAAAAACAGCCACUUUCUCUUCCAUAAGCCAGUUUAUUUUUUCUUCACGGCAUUUGUUACAAAUCACAAAUGUGGAGGAAAAAUGAAGGCAAAGCAAAAUAACAGGCAAGUCUGAAAACAAAAGUGUUGCCAGUCAUGCUAAGCCUCAGGCACGCAUUCUGAAUGAAGCUAAAGUUUAAAGUCCCCUCUGAUAGAUUUGUGACUUAAAUGUCCACACUAGCAAGUGUGUUUCUCACAUGGAGAAGUAGCACGAUUUUGUGUCAGGAAAGGGAUGAGAACAUGCUUCUUGAACACAUACAACGCUGAAGACAUUUCCUGGAAAACCAUUGGCCUUUGCUUAGGACAGUUGCAUCACACAGAGAUGUUUGUGGUUCAGAUUUAUGAGAAACAUGGGAACUGAAGCCAAAGCACUACUUUUGCUCAGUAUAACCAGGUGCCAGAUCUAAAGUGUUAGGCAGGUUCCUAUAUGUAUGUUAGAAAAAAGUUGCCCAAGUUUUGGACAAUUCCUUUUCCAUCUCUCUUACAAGUCAACAAAUCGAAGCAAUAAACUAUUCUCUGAAGAAAACAAAUUUAUUUGGUUGAUUCAAACUUUUAAUGAGACUGUUACUCCCCUGUGUGCCUUUCCUUUCUCUGGUUCUAGAAAUACAUCUAGAAAGGGGGAAAAUGUUAAUAUAUUUUCUACUGACUUUAUAUCACAAAUGCUUAGCUUAGAGGGUGGACUCUGAGGAACAGUGUCCUUUCCAAAUAUUAUAAAACUUUGUGUUCAUUCUGGAAAAACAAACAAAAUUAAUCACAAUGAUUUCCUGCUUUGGAGCAAUGAGAAAUGGGAGGGAAACUUCACCUUUUCAUAGCUUUUGAUGUUUGCACCAUGUGAAUUACCCACCCCCAAAUUUAAAAUACGAAUUUUUGAAAAAGUGUUUACCUCUGAGAAGAGAAACUAGUAGUGAAGAAUGAGGAGCUGUAGAUUUUUAACGAUUCUGAUGUAUUUGUGUUUUUCCCAAUGUUCAUGAAUAAAUAAAUGUGCAUUCAUAAUUAAAAAGAAUAAACAACCUGGAAAAAAC
This 2372-nucleotide long non-coding RNA is filed under the name Pan troglodytes (chimpanzee). RNAcentral's name for it is "lincRNA". The record is from RNAcentral. Lineage: Eukaryota; Metazoa; Chordata; Mammalia; Primates; Hominidae.